This 281-nucleotide long non-coding RNA is filed under the name Homo sapiens (human). RNAcentral describes it as "non-protein coding lnc-KDM2B-1:1". The record is from RNAcentral. Lineage: Eukaryota; Metazoa; Chordata; Mammalia; Primates; Hominidae.
GGGCAGAUCACCUGAGGCCAGGAGUUCAAGACUAGCGUGGCCAACAUGGUGAAACCCUGUCUCUACUUAAAAUACAAAAAUUAGCCAGGCAUGGUGGUGCGUGCCUGUGGUCCCAGCUACUCAUGAGGCUGACGUGGUAGGGUGGCUUGAGCCUGCACAGUGAAGGCUACCAUGGUGAUUGCACCAUUGCACUCCAGCCUGGGCGCCGAGAGCGAGUGAGGGCUGUGAGGGCUGCCAGCACGCUGUCACCUCUCGCUUUCGGAGGCCGAGGCGGGCGAAUC